CUACGGGUCGCUCCAGUCGAGAAUAUUUGACAAUGGGCGGAAGCCUGAUCAAGCGACGCCGCGUGCAGGAAGACGCUUUUCGGAGUGUAAACUGCUUUUCAUGGGGAUGAAGAUCGCCUUUUGGUGGUUUGACAGUACCCAUGGAAUAAGGAACGGCUAACUUCGUGCCAGCAGCAGCGGUAAUACGAAGGUUCCGAGCGUUAUCCGGAGUUAUUGGGCGUAAAGGGUGUGUAGGGGGCUAUGUGCGUCUGUUGUUAAAACUCACUGCUCAAAGGUGAGAUCGCGAUGGAUACGGCAUAGCUAGAGGAUGCGAGAGGCUUGCGGAACGCACGGUGUAGGGGUGAUAUCCGUUGAUAUCGUGCGGAACACCAAAGGCGAAGGCAGCAAGCUGGCGCAUUUCUGACCCUGAGACACGAAAGCGUGGGGAGCAAAAAGGAUUAGAUACCCCAGUAGUC
RNAcentral lists this ribosomal RNA (455 nucleotides) under uncultured bacterium. RNAcentral describes it as "partial 16S ribosomal RNA". It matches the Rfam family "Bacterial small subunit ribosomal RNA", at positions 339 to 795 of the family's 1533-position model. The record is from RNAcentral.